GAACGAACGCUGGCGGCAUGCCUAACCCAUGCAAGUCGAACGAGACCUUCGGGUCUAGUGGCGCACGGGUGCGUAACGCGUGGGAACCUGCCCUUAGGUUCGGAAUAACUCCCCGAAAGGGGUGCUAAUACCGGAUAAUGUCUUCGGACCAAAGAUUUAUCGCCUUUGGAUGGGCCCGCGUUGGAUUAGCUAGUUGGUAGGGUAAAAGCCUACCAAGGCGACGAUCCAUAGCUGGUCUGAGAGGAUGAUCAGCCACACUGGGACUGAGACACGGCCCAGACUCCUACGGGAGGCAGCAGUGGGGAAUAUUGGACAAUGGGCGAAAGCCUGAUCCAGCAAUGCCGCGUGAGUGAUGAAGGCCUUAGGGUUGUAAAGCUCUUUUAACCGGGAUGAUAAUGACAGUACCGGGAGAAUAAGCGCCGGCUAACUCCGUG
Molecule: ribosomal RNA, 434 nt
Filed under: uncultured bacterium
Lineage: Bacteria
Description: partial 16S ribosomal RNA
Rfam family: Bacterial small subunit ribosomal RNA
Source: RNAcentral